GACAGAGGUGCCAAGCGUUAGGCGGAAUCACUGGGCUUAAAGCGUGUGUAGGCGGGUCGUUAAGUACCUUGUGAGAUCCCACGGCUCAACCGUGGAACUGCUCGGUAUACUGGCGAUCUUGGGCCACUUAGGGGCUAGCGGAACAAACGGUGGAGCGGUGAAAUGCUUAGAUAUGACAUAGAACACCAAUUGCGAAGGCAGCUGGCUACACAUAUAUUGACACUGAGGCACGAAAGCGUGGGGAUCAAACAGG
Molecule: ribosomal RNA, 253 nt
Filed under: uncultured bacterium
Lineage: Bacteria
Description: partial 16S ribosomal RNA
Rfam family: Bacterial small subunit ribosomal RNA
Source: RNAcentral